UUCCCUGUGGCUCAGUUGGUAGAGCAUGGUGUGUGCAACGCCAGGGUUGUGGGUUUGAUUCCCACAGGGGGAC
This 73-nucleotide transfer RNA is filed under the name Salmo salar (Atlantic salmon). It matches the Rfam family "tRNA". From Rfam's summary of the family: Transfer RNA (tRNA) molecules are approximately 80 nucleotides in length. Their secondary structure includes four short double-helical elements and three loops (D, anti-codon, and T loops). Lineage: Eukaryota; Metazoa; Chordata; Actinopteri; Salmoniformes; Salmonidae. The record is from Rfam by way of RNAcentral.